This 250-nucleotide ribosomal RNA is filed under the name uncultured prokaryote. RNAcentral describes it as "partial 16S ribosomal RNA". It matches the Rfam family "Bacterial small subunit ribosomal RNA", at positions 524 to 773 of the family's 1533-position model. The record is from RNAcentral.
UACGUAGGGGGCAAGCGUUAUCCGGAUUUACUGGGUGUAAAGGGUGCGUAGACGGUUAGACAAGUCUGAAGUGAAAUGCAUGGGCUCAACUCAUGAACUGCUUUGGAAACUGCCUAACUGGAGUACAGGAGGGGUAAGCGGAAUUCCUGGUGUAGCGGUGAAAUGCUUAGAUAUCAGGAGGGACACCGGCGGGGAAGGCGGCUUACUGGACUGUAACUGACGUUGAGGCACGAAAGCGUGGAGAGCAAAC